Molecule: long non-coding RNA, 289 nt
Organism: Cotesia glomerata
Lineage: Eukaryota; Metazoa; Arthropoda; Insecta; Hymenoptera; Braconidae
Exons: 2
Source: RefSeq, a predicted model, not a curated record
AUCCAUGUGGCUUACAUUACUCGUAAGGUCUAUGGUACAUUAAAUUGUCUAAUACACAGAAGAAACAUACUCUCUACUUCAACGCGUAAACUACUAGUCAUGACUACCAUAAUUCCAAUUGUUGAAUACUGUUCCAUAGUUUUGAUUGACUUAUCCAAAAGGCUAGACUACAAACUUCAACACGAGAUGAACAUAUCACUCCCUACAGGCAUUCAUUAAACUGGCUCACGGUUAAAUCUAAACGAAUGUACUCGUUAGCGUGCUUCAUCUACAAACUUCUAAAAUCAGG